This 454-nucleotide ribosomal RNA is filed under the name uncultured bacterium. RNAcentral describes it as "bacterial SSU rRNA". It matches the Rfam family "Bacterial small subunit ribosomal RNA", at positions 330 to 795 of the family's 1533-position model. The record is from RNAcentral.
CCCAGACUCCUACGGGAGGCAGCAGUCGAGAAUCAUUCACAAUGGGGGAAACCCUGAUGGUGCGACGCCGCGUGGGGGAAUGAAGGUCUUCGGAUUGUAAACCCCUGUCAUGUGGGAGCAAAUUAAAAAGAUAGUACCACAAGAGGAAGAGACGGCUAACUCUGUGCCAGCAGCCGCGGUAAUACAGAGGUCUCAAGCGUUGUUCGGGAUCACUGGGCGUAAAGCGUGCGUAGGCUGUUUCGUAAGUCGUGUGUGAAAGGCGCGGGGGCAACCCGCGGACGGCACAUGAUACUGCGAGACUAGAGGAGUGGAGGGGGAACCGGAAUUCUCGGUGGAGCAGUGAAAUGCGUAGAUAUCGAGGGGAACACUCGUGGCGGAGGCGGGUUCCUGGACAUUAACUGGCGGUGAGGCGCGAAGGCCGGGGGAGCGAAAGGGAUUAGAUACCCGCGUAAUA